RNAcentral lists this ribosomal RNA (501 nucleotides) under uncultured bacterium. RNAcentral describes it as "bacterial SSU rRNA". It matches the Rfam family "Bacterial small subunit ribosomal RNA", at positions 30 to 519 of the family's 1533-position model. The record is from RNAcentral.
AUUGAACGCUGGCGGCAUGCCUUACACAUGCAAGUCGAACGGCAGCACGGGAGCAAUCCUGGUGGCGAGUGGCGAACGGGUGAGUAAUACAUCGGAACGUGCCCAGUAAUGGGGGACAACUAGUUGAAAGAUUAGCUAAUACCGCAUACGACCUACGGGUGAAAGCAGGGGAUCGCAAGACCUUGCGUUAUUGGAGCGGCCGAUGUCAGAUUAGCUUGUUGGUGAGGUAAAAGCUCACCAAGGCGACGAUCUGUAGCUGGUCUGAGAGGACGACCAGCCGCACUGGAACUGAGACACGGUCCAGACUCCUACGGGAGGCAGCAGUGGGGAAUUUUGGACAAUGGGCGAAAGCCUGAUCCAGCCAUGCCGCGUGUGGGAAGAAGGCCUCGGUUGUAACCACUUUGUUCGGGACGAAACGGUACUGUGAUAACACCACUGGGCGUAAUGACGGUACCCGAACGGAAUAAGCACCGGCCUAACUAACCGUGCCAGCAGCCGACC